CGACCGAGGCGGGGAAAGAAGGAAGAGGCGAAACCGAGACCUUACGAACAGGAACCUGUUAUCAGGCUUCGCGGGUGGGAAAGGUGGCAAAAGGCACCGCAUCCCAUUGGGAAAACCGCACGGAGUAAAGCAGGGAGGCGCUUGGGGAAAGGAA
RNAcentral lists this non-coding RNA (154 nucleotides) under pig gut metagenome. The record is from RNAcentral.